GCAUUGGUGGUUCAGUGGUAGAAUUCUUGCCUUCCAAGUAGGAGACCCACGUUUGAUUCCUGGCCAAUGUA
Molecule: transfer RNA, 71 nt
Filed under: Loxodonta africana (African savanna elephant)
Lineage: Eukaryota; Metazoa; Chordata; Mammalia; Proboscidea; Elephantidae
Rfam family: tRNA
About the family: Transfer RNA (tRNA) molecules are approximately 80 nucleotides in length. Their secondary structure includes four short double-helical elements and three loops (D, anti-codon, and T loops). Further hydrogen bonds mediate the characteristic L-shaped molecular structure. tRNAs have two regions of fundamental functional importance: the anti-codon, which is responsible for specific mRNA codon recognition, and the 3' end, to which the tRNAs corresponding amino acid is attached (by aminoacyl-tRNA synthetases). tRNAs cope with the degeneracy of the genetic code in two manners: having more than one tRNA (with a specific anti-codon) for a particular amino acid; and 'wobble' base-pairing, i.e. permitting non-standard base-pairing at the 3rd anti-codon position.
Source: Rfam by way of RNAcentral